GACGAACGCUGGCGGCGUGCCUAAUACAUGCAAGUAGAACGCACAGUUUAUACCGUAGCUUGCUACACCAUACACUGUGAGUUGCGAACGGGUGAGUAACGCGUAGGUAACCUGCCUGGUAGCGGGGGAUAACUAUUGGAAACGAUAGCUAAUACCGCAUAAUAUUGAUUAUUGCAUGAUAAUUGAUUGAAAGAUGCUAUUGCAUCACUACCAGCUGGACCUGCGUUGUAUUAGCUAGUAGGUGAGGUAACGGCUCACCUAGGCGACGAUACAUAGCCGACCUGAGAGGGUGAUCGGCCACACUGGGACUGAGACACGGCCCAGACUCCUACGGGAGGCAGCAGUAGGGAAUCUUCGGAAAUGGACGAAAGUCUGACCGAGCAACGCCGCGUGAGUGAAGAAGGUUUUCGGAUCGUAAAGCUCUGUUGUAAGAGAAGAACGGGUGCGAGAGUGGAAAGUUCACACUGUGACGGUAUCUUACCAGAAAGGGACGGCUAACUACGUG
Molecule: ribosomal RNA, 505 nt
Filed under: uncultured bacterium
Lineage: Bacteria
Description: partial 16S ribosomal RNA
Rfam family: Bacterial small subunit ribosomal RNA
Source: RNAcentral